RNAcentral lists this small nucleolar RNA (74 nucleotides) under Dendronephthya gigantea. Lineage: Eukaryota; Metazoa; Cnidaria; Anthozoa; Malacalcyonacea; Nephtheidae. The record is from RNAcentral.
UUCCAAUGAUGAUUUUAUUUAUUCCUGACAUUGUCCGUGGAGGAAAAAAUAAACUGAUUUAAUGAGUCUGAGGA